CGCAUCUGUGCAUGCAGCAUAUCAAUAAGCGGAGGAAAAGAAACUAACAAGGAUUCCCUUAGUAACGGCGAGUGAAGCGGGAAGAGCUCAAAUUUGAAAUCUUCAAGGUUUUACCUUGACGAAUUGUAGUUUAAAGAAGUGUUUUCUGUUGAAGUUUUGGUAAAAGUUCUUUGGAAUAGGACAUCAUAGAGGGUGAGAAUCCCGUAUUUGACCAUUAUUUCAGCUGUGUGAUACACUUUCAAAGAGUCGGAUUGUUUGGGAAUGCAGUCCAAAAUGGGUGGUAAAUUUCAUCUAAAGCUAAAUAUUGGCGAGAGACCGAUAGCGAACAAGUACCGUGAGGGAAAGAUGAAAAGAACUUUGAAAAGAGAGUUAAACAGUACGUGAAAUUGUCAAAAGGGAAGCGUUUGACACCAGUGUUGUUUUCUCGAAAAUCAAUUAAAAAGAGUUAGAUUUUGUUGUGUAUUGACCUUAACAGCUUGCAUUUCAAUUUUCUUGCUUUUUUUAAUGCACUUUUCGUUUAACAAGUCAACAUCAGUUUCUUUUGUUGUAAAAAGGUCAUUGGAAGGUGGCUUUCUUUUCGGAGAAAGUGUUUAUAGCCUUUGACUCCUGCAAUCGGAGAGACUGAGGUCUGCAGCGUAGAUCCUUCGGGGUUAGAUACAUUUGUGCUAAGUUAUAGCUUUUUAUAGACAACUUGUUGACUAUGAUUAGUCUUGUAGCUUACUCGCUUAUGCUAUUUUACCUACGCUUAGGAUGUUGACGCGCGUGUGUGCGUG
RNAcentral lists this ribosomal RNA (773 nucleotides) under uncultured Neocallimastigales. RNAcentral's name for it is "partial large subunit ribosomal RNA". It matches the Rfam family "Eukaryotic large subunit ribosomal RNA", at positions 26 to 639 of the family's 3401-position model. The record is from RNAcentral. Lineage: Eukaryota; Fungi; Neocallimastigomycota; Neocallimastigomycetes; Neocallimastigales.